RNAcentral lists this ribosomal RNA (253 nucleotides) under uncultured bacterium. RNAcentral's name for it is "partial 16S ribosomal RNA". It matches the Rfam family "Bacterial small subunit ribosomal RNA", at positions 524 to 776 of the family's 1533-position model. The record is from RNAcentral.
UACAGAGCGCGCGAGCGUUAAUCGGAAUUACUGGGCGUAAAGCGCACGUAGGUGGUGACGUAAGUCGGGUGUGAAAGCCCCGGGCUCAACCUGGGAAUUGCAUUCGAGACUGCAUUGCUGGAGUACGGAAGAGGAGGGCGGAAUUCCCGGUGUAGCGGUGAAAUGCGUAGAUAUCGGGAGGAACAUCAGUGGCGAAGGCGGCCCUCUGGUCCAGUACUGACACUCAAGUGCGAAAGCGUGGGGAGCAAACAGG